Molecule: ribosomal RNA, 468 nt
Filed under: uncultured bacterium
Lineage: Bacteria
Description: partial 16S ribosomal RNA
Rfam family: Bacterial small subunit ribosomal RNA
Source: RNAcentral
GACGAACGCUGGCGGCGUGCUUAACACAUGCAAGUCGAACGGAAAGGCCCUGCUCUUGUGGGGUGCUCGAGUGGCGAACGGGUGAGUAACACGUGUGUAUCCCGCCCUUGACUUUGGGAUAACUUCAGGAAACUGGGGCUAAUACCGGAUAGGAGCUCCUGCUGCAUGGUGGGGGUUGGAAAGUUUCGGCGGUUGGGGAUGGACUCGCGGCUUACCAGCUUGUUGGUGGGGUAGUGGCUUACCAAGGCUUCGACGGGUAGCCGGCCUGAGAGGGUGACCGGCCACAUUGGGACUGAGAUACGGCCCAGACUCCUACGGGAGGCAGCAGUGGGGAAUAUUGCACAGUGGGCGGAAGCCUGAGGCAGCGACGCCGCGUGCGGGAUGACGGCCUUCGGGUUGUAAACCGCUGUCGCCUGUGACGAGGCGUGAGUGACGGUAAUGGGUAAAGAAGCACCGGCUAACUACGUG